Molecule: long non-coding RNA, 1363 nt
Organism: Balaenoptera acutorostrata (minke whale)
Lineage: Eukaryota; Metazoa; Chordata; Mammalia; Artiodactyla; Balaenopteridae
Exons: 3
Source: RefSeq, a predicted model, not a curated record
AGCUAACGCGUAGGAGCCCCGGGAAGGGUGAGCCAAGAGGGACGUGGCGCUCUGCGGCGCGGGCUGAGAAGCCGCGCCCCUUCCUUCUCUGGCUUUCAUAGAGAGUCCUGUGGAGCAGGAUUUGGGUGGGUGAGGUGCUUACCCGGGACGCGGACAAAAACCCAGGAUCCCACAGGACAUCACCUGGCCAAGUUCUUCAUUGUGUUCAGAAUGGGGGAGAGGGAGGCAGGAGUACUUACAAGAGACACUGUGUCGCUGACAGGGUCUUGGUGCUCCAGCUGGGUGACAGGCCUGUGCCUCUGAGGUGGGAGAGCCGAGUUCAGGACAUUUGUCCACCAGAGACCUCCUGGUUCCAUGUAAUAUCAAAUGGUGAAAGUUCUCCCAGAGAUCUCCAUCUCAGCGCUAAGACCCAGCUCCACUCAACGACAAGCAAACUAAGUGCUGGAUAUCCUAUGCCAAACAACUAGCAAGACAGGACACAACCCCACCCAUUAGCAGAGAGGCUGCCUAAAAUCAUAAUAAGGUCACAGACACCACAAAACACACCACCGGACGUGGUCCUGCCCACCAGAAAGACAAGAUCCAGCCUCAUCUACCAGAACACAGGCACCAGUCCCCUUGACCAGGAAGGCUACACAACCCACUGAACCAACCUUAGCCACUGGGGGCAGACACCAAAAACAACAGGAACUACAAACCUGCAGCCUGCAAAAAGGAGACCCCAAACACAGUAAGUUAAGCAAAAUGAGAAGACAGAGAAACACACAGCAGAUGAAGGAGCAAGGUAAAAACCCACCAGACCAAACAAAUGAAGAGGAAAUAGGCAGUCUACCUGAAAAAGAAUUCAGAGUAAUGAUAGUAAAGAUGAUCCAAAAUCUUGGAAAUAGAAUGGAGAAAAUACAGGAAACGUUUAACAAGGACCUAGAAGAACUAAAAAGAGCAAGUAAACAAUGAUGACCAACACAAUAAAUGAAAUUAAAAAUUCUCUAGAAGGAAUCAAUAGCAGAAUAACUGAGGCAGAAGAACGGAUAAGUGACCUGGAAGAUAAAAUAGUGGAAAUAACUACUGCAGAGCAGAAUAAAGAAAAAAGAAUGAAAAGAAUUGAGGACAGUCUUAGAGACCACUGGGACAACAGUAAGCACACCAACAUUCGAAUUAUAGGGGUCCCAGAAGAAGAAGAGAAAAAGAAAGGGACUGAGAAAAUAUUUGAAAAGAGUAUAGUUGAAAGCUUCCCUAAUAUGGGAAAGGAAAUAGUCAGUCAAGCCCAGGAAGCACAGAGAGUCCCAUACAGGAUAAAUCUAAGGAGAAACACACCAAGACACAUAUUAAUCAAACUACCAAAAAUUAAAUACAAAGAAAAAUA